CUGUAGCCUAUAUCUUGAUCUCUGCUUUUCUUUUUUAUUAUUUGAAUAACUUCAGGCUGUGAUUCAUUUCAUGGAAGAAUUCCUCACCUCCUACUGAUUUGGGGUAUUUUGUCCCAAUUCCAGACAAGACGUCAGUAAAUGCUGACAUUUUUGUUUCAACCCAAAAUGAUGAUGGAACUGAGAACGGGGCUGUCAGCUGAGGACAUUUGUAUUCCCAACAGCUGUGGUCAAUGAGCCAAGCUUGUGCAAGCCCAGUGGUUAAUCACUUGAGGGAAUCUGCACAUCUUUAUUUACCUGAGUCAGCUACCUAAAGGAUUUGCUAAUAGCUGAAAGUUUUCCUGAAUCAUUGGGCUGCUGGGUGCUGUAAGCAUCUGUUCACAUCCUGCCUACCGUAAUUAAAGAGACAGGGAUUUGCUACUUUAAAGAAAGAGGAGAUGGCAGUGCAUGGCUGGACUAAGGGUAAUGUUUUUUUCCAAUAUUGUUAGUGUUGUGUCUUGUUAGUCCUAGUGUCAAGGCCAUUAGCUGUGACUGUCCGUGAGGUAUAGAGCCAUGUUUGGGGGAUUUUUAGCUCUCAAACACUUCUUCCUCAGUUCUUAGUGAACAGAGGACUAAUAAAGUGAUGGAUAAUAGUUUUGUCAGCAGUGCAGGAACACUAUGAACCGUGGAGGGUAACAAUCAUCCCCCAGGAGGGGCCGCUCUGAACUGAGAACCAUCAGCUUGGGGCACAGGUGAAUGAAGUUCAAGUUACAGCACUUUGUAGACCUCAGGUGUCUUUAGGUUGAUCAGUCAUGUCAUGCUAAGUGCCUUACUUGUAAGAAUGAUCUUUUGGCAUAUCCCCAAUCUCAAGGAGAGGAGUUCUAUUCUGAGAUUUCUGAGCUGCCUGGGUAUUGCAGUCUAGGAACCACAGCUCGAGAGAUGGAAGCUGCAGGAUAAAGUGGCCUCUUCUCUCUGAGUGUAGAUCACCACUUGGAAGGAGCUGUGAUAUCAAGUCUGUUCUUAUUCUGCACUCUGGAAUGGGGCCCUGCUCUCUCAUCCUGGCUCUCUGGGUCAACUCCAAAGUUCUGCAGGGCACUGUACGUGGCAUGUGACAGAGCAAGCCAAAAACAAACGUCCAACAUGCAAAUUGUGAUACUUCAAGUCAAACCAUGCCCCUGUGCUGGAUUUCUAGAUCUUGGAAAGGGAAUUAAGGAUGAUACAGAAUAAAACUUUUC
Molecule: long non-coding RNA, 1211 nt
Filed under: Cyanistes caeruleus (blue tit)
Lineage: Eukaryota; Metazoa; Chordata; Aves; Passeriformes; Paridae
Description: lncRNA (ENSCCEG00000015529.1)
Source: RNAcentral